RNAcentral lists this long non-coding RNA (617 nucleotides) under Homo sapiens (human). Its description in RNAcentral is "HSALNT0088015". The record is from RNAcentral. Lineage: Eukaryota; Metazoa; Chordata; Mammalia; Primates; Hominidae.
GCAACUUUCCUCAUAACAAAUAGUGUCAUGAAGAAUGUUGUAGUGUGAAGUUUGUACAUUUCAGGGUCAGAUAUACAAUAUGAACUCUUAAUCUACAGGAAUGAGAAUGGAGGAUCAUUGAAGGCCAUGAUAUAAACAAAUUUGCAUGUUGAAGCCUGUAUAAAACAUGGUACAGUGAGUGAAUAUACCCCCAUCCCCAAGAACACUUUAUACAUAUUAAAUGGAUAUAUGAUUACUGUGCAAAAAUUCAUUCUGGAAAUGAACAUAUAUUUGAGCACUAAUAUGUAAUGUACACCUGCCCUAAGGAGAAAAUAAAUUAUAAAACUUUUUACAUUCAAAAUUACUUUCCCAAGCAUGUCUUAGAAUAAUCUAUGUGUUGAUGCAUGUAAAUUGUACUUUAGGUAGGCAAAGAAAUCUGGUUAUUUAUGUAAAAACUAGUCUAAUAAAGUUAGUUAGUGGCUUUAUCACUUUAAAUCUUUAGUGUCCAAAAGUGGUGUUUAAAGUAAUAGCACAUCAUUCUAAUUUUGCUCAGUUGUUAUUAAGAGCAUAUUCCUAAACCAUACACUUUUGUUUCAAUAAAGUUUUAUUUUGUUGAGAUGAAUAAAAUAACAAAGUUA